GCGGAGAUAAAAACACGGCCUGGUUGGUAGUCCAGGCGUAUCCGCGGUAUCGAGCGGGUAUCAGUAACCUGCCUCCUUGGUUGUCCGUUCUCCGAA
Molecule: non-coding RNA, 96 nt
Filed under: uncultured Dysosmobacter sp.
Lineage: Bacteria; Bacillati; Bacillota; Clostridia; Eubacteriales; Oscillospiraceae
Description: yjdF RNA
Rfam family: azaaromatic riboswitch aptamer (yjdF RNA)
Source: RNAcentral